This 512-nucleotide ribosomal RNA is filed under the name uncultured bacterium. RNAcentral's name for it is "partial 16S ribosomal RNA". It matches the Rfam family "Bacterial small subunit ribosomal RNA", at positions 28 to 507 of the family's 1533-position model. The record is from RNAcentral.
GAUGAACGCUGGCGGCGUGCCUAAUACAUGCAAGUCGAACGAAACUUCUUUAUCACCGAGUGCUUGCACUCACCGAUAAAGAGUUGAGUGGCGAACGGGUGAGUAACACGUGGGCAACCUGCCCAAAAGAGGGGGAUAACACUUGGAAACAGGUGCUAAUACCGCAUAACCAUAGUUACCGCAUGGUAACUAUGUAAAAGGUGGCUAUACUACCGCUGUUGGAUGGGCCCGCGGCGCAUUAGCUAGUUGGUAGGGUAAAGGCUUACCAAGGCAAUGAUGCGUAGCCGAAUUGAGAGGUUGAUCAGCCACACUGGGACUGAGACACGGCCCAAACUCCUACGGGAGGCAGCAGUAGGGAAUCUUCCACAAUGGGCGAAAGCCUGAUGGAGCAACGCCGCGUGGGUGAAGAAGGUCUUCGGAUCGUAAAACCCUGUUGUUAGAGAAGAAAGUGCGUGAGAGUAACUGUUCACGUUUCGACGGUAUCUAAACAGAAAGCCACUGCUAACUACGUG